Molecule: ribosomal RNA, 253 nt
Filed under: uncultured bacterium
Lineage: Bacteria
Description: partial 16S ribosomal RNA
Rfam family: Bacterial small subunit ribosomal RNA
Source: RNAcentral
UACGUAGGGACCGAGCGUUGUCCGGAUUCAUUGGACGUAAAGAGCUCGUAGGCGGCCACUCAAGUCGAAUGUGAAACCUCGAGGCUUAACCUCGAGCCUGCAUUCGAUACUGGGCGGCUAGAGUCUGGUAGGGGGAUCUGGAAUUCCUGGUGUAGCGGUGGAAUGCGCAGAUAUCAGGAGGAACACCGGUGGCGAAGGCGGGAUCCUGGGCCAGUACUGACGCUGAGUCACGAAAGCGUGGGGAGCGAACAGG